GGGCACGUAGCUCAGUGGAUAGAGCACCAGAUUCCGGUUCUGGUGGUCGGGGGUUCAAAUCCCUCCGUGCUCG
Molecule: transfer RNA, 73 nt
Filed under: Chroococcopsis gigantea SAG 12.99
Lineage: Bacteria; Bacillati; Cyanobacteriota; Cyanophyceae; Pleurocapsales; Pleurocapsaceae
Also listed under: 1 other name
Description: tRNA-Arg
Rfam family: tRNA
About the family: Transfer RNA (tRNA) molecules are approximately 80 nucleotides in length. Their secondary structure includes four short double-helical elements and three loops (D, anti-codon, and T loops).
Source: RNAcentral